UACGGGAGGCAGCAGUGGGGAAUUUUUGGACAAUGGGGGAAACCCUGAUCCAGCCCUUUCCGCGUGAGUGAAGAAGGCCUUCGGGUUGUAAAGCUCUUUUGUCCGGAACGAAACGGGUAACGUGAAUAUCGUUGCCUACUGACGGUACCGGAAGAAUAAGCACCGGCUAACUACGUGCCAGCAGCCGCGGUAAUACGUAGGGUGCGAGCGUUAAUCGGAAUUACUGGGCGUAAAGCGUGCGCAGGCGGUCUUGUAAGCCAGAUGUGAAAUCCCCGGGCUUAACCUGGGAAUGGCAUUUGGGACUGCAAGGCUGGAGUUUGGCAGAGGAGACUGGAAUUCCUGGUGUAGCAGUGAAAUGCGUAGAUAUCAGGAGGAACACCGAUGGCGAAGGCAGGUCUCUGGGCUGAAACUGACGCUCAAGCACGAAAGCGUGGGGAGCAAACAGGAUUAGAUACCCUGGUAGUCCACGCCCUAAACGAUGUCGACUGGUUGUUGGGGGUUUGACACUCUCAGUAACGAAGCUAACGCGUGAAGUCGACCGCCUGGGGAGUACGGCCGCAAGGUUAAAACUCAAAGGAAUUGACGGGGACCCGCACAAGCGGUGGAUUAUGUGGAUUAAUUCGAUGCAACGCGAAAAACCUUACCUACCCUUGACAUGUCCGAGAGGCCGCAGAGAUGUGGCUGUGCCCGAAAGGGAAUCGGAACACAGGUGCUGCAUGGCUGUCUCAGCU
This 731-nucleotide ribosomal RNA is filed under the name uncultured beta proteobacterium. Its description in RNAcentral is "bacterial SSU rRNA". It matches the Rfam family "Bacterial small subunit ribosomal RNA", at positions 340 to 1060 of the family's 1533-position model. Lineage: Bacteria; Pseudomonadati; Pseudomonadota; Betaproteobacteria. The record is from RNAcentral.